RNAcentral lists this ribosomal RNA (253 nucleotides) under uncultured bacterium. RNAcentral's name for it is "partial 16S ribosomal RNA". It matches the Rfam family "Bacterial small subunit ribosomal RNA", at positions 524 to 776 of the family's 1533-position model. The record is from RNAcentral.
UACGUAGGGUGCAAGCGUUAAUCGGAAUUACUGGGCGUAAAGCGUGCGCAGGCGGUUUUCCAAGACAGAUGUGAAAUCCCCGGGCUCAACCUGGGAAUGGCAUUUGUGACUGGAAGGCUAGAGUGUGUCAGAGGGGGGUAGAAUUCCACGUGUAGCAGUGAAAUGCGUAGAGAUGUGGAGGAAUACCGAUGGCGAAGGCAGCCCCCUGGGAUAACACUGACGCUCAUGCACGAAAGCGUGGGGAGCAAACAGG